Long non-coding RNA from Poecilia latipinna (sailfin molly), 1219 nucleotides. RefSeq lists it as uncharacterized. The record is from RefSeq and is a predicted model, not a curated record. The transcript has 3 exons. NCBI's taxonomy places the organism in Eukaryota, Metazoa, Chordata, Actinopteri, Cyprinodontiformes, Poeciliidae.
ACCGAACAGCGCAGCGCACUGGCGAAAAAGAGAAUUGCACAUUAUAUUUCAGUGGGCGCCAUCAGAGCUCGACAUGAACGAACUUUUGAUCAACAGGGGGCGACAUUAUCCAGGGAAUAUGACGGCAAACUAUCCAGCAGCAUCACCAUCUUCACUGGACCAUCUCCUCAUCUGACAGUCACCAGGCUACUCCUUCAUGAUUUUAACGGUGGACCAAAAGCGCUGGCACAGAGGACUGACGAGUUCAUGCUCAGAUGAAAGAAGCAUACAUGUAGAUGUAACUUGUCCUACAAAGACAGAAGCAUCUACUAAAUUGCAGUUUUAUUACAAAGGAUAGAACACUCACUCACAAAGGUAAGAGAUCAUUUUUAUUUGCAUUUUAUUUCUUCACUACACAUUUUUUUGGCAUUCUCUCUGUAGUUUUCUCUUAUUUAUUAUUUGGUGUUUUUACUACUACAUUGCCACAAUCAAUAGUAUCAUCAUACGAUUUAAAUCAUAUUUCCAUCUACGUACAUAUAGUUGCAAUAGGCAUAAUUUCAAAAGUUACCAUCCAGGGGAUUAUUUGUUGUUUAGAGCGAUCAUAUCUGCAGCUUCAGCUGAAGGCUUCGGUGAACACUCAGUGGGGAUGUCUUCGCUUGGUUUCCUCUCCCUCCUUCACUGUCAAACCCCUCCUUGCCUCUCCUCUCUCCUGUGUGUCUGCAUGUAUUCACAGUUAGUCUCAGCUUCUGCUCUGCUUGCUUGCCUGCCACAGACUGUCUGCUCUGAUUGGUUGGCAGACUGCAGUUACACAUUAAAUGUUGGCUGUUCACUAUAAGUGUCAUACUGUGCACGUGUCUUGUUUGUUAGACUUACAAUUUUACCUCAGUGCCCAACCUGAGGAGCACAUUAAACGGGGCUGACCUGGAUCGGUGUUCGUCCCGCUUUCUGAGUUUAUUUAUGUUUGUGUCGGUGUGUUUUUCUUGGAGGUGCAGAGAGGUGAGUCAUACCGGCUCACACACUGGUGGCUGCCACCGGCGUUCAGUGUAACCACAUCGUGUUGUGUGAUUUGCAAAUCGGCAGUGUCUGAUGAAGCAGUGUAUCUGUGAAAUGUCGACCUUUCAGGAAAUGAAAACAAGCAAAUUUGCCUUUUUUUGAAGAGCUUACCAUCUAUUGAUUUUUUUUUUUCUGUGCAAUGUGUCCUAUUCGGAGGAGGUCAGAUCUGAAAGUAUUUUUUACAAAG